GGCUGGUUGCCUCAGUUGGUUAGAGUGUGGUGCUAAUAAUGCUAAGGUCGUGGGUUCAAUCCCUGUAUGGGCCA
This 74-nucleotide transfer RNA is filed under the name Bos taurus (domestic cattle). It matches the Rfam family "tRNA". From Rfam's summary of the family: Transfer RNA (tRNA) molecules are approximately 80 nucleotides in length. Their secondary structure includes four short double-helical elements and three loops (D, anti-codon, and T loops). The record is from Rfam by way of RNAcentral. Lineage: Eukaryota; Metazoa; Chordata; Mammalia; Artiodactyla; Bovidae.